Molecule: ribosomal RNA, 253 nt
Filed under: uncultured bacterium
Lineage: Bacteria
Description: partial 16S ribosomal RNA
Rfam family: Bacterial small subunit ribosomal RNA
Source: RNAcentral
UACGGGGGGGGCAAGCGUUGUUCGGAAUUAUUGGGCGUAAAGAGCGUGUAGGCGGCCAGAUAGGUCAGCUGUGAAAACUCGAGGCUCAACCUCGAGAUGUCGGCUGAAACCAUCUGGCUAGAGUCCGGAAGAGGAGAAUGGAAUUCCCGGUGUAGCGGUGAAAUUCGUAGAUAUUGGGAAGAACACCGGUGGCGAAGGCGGCCAUCUGGACCGAGACUGACGCUGAGGCGCGAAAGCGUGGGGAGCAAACAGG